This 749-nucleotide ribosomal RNA is filed under the name Janibacter sp. RNAcentral describes it as "bacterial SSU rRNA". It matches the Rfam family "Bacterial small subunit ribosomal RNA", at positions 68 to 830 of the family's 1533-position model. The record is from RNAcentral. Lineage: Bacteria; Bacillati; Actinomycetota; Actinomycetes; Micrococcales; Intrasporangiaceae.
UGAAGCUCAAGCUUGCUUGGGUGGAUCAGUGGCGAACGGGUGAGUAACACGUGAGCAACCUGCCCCAGACUCUGGAAUAAGCGCUGGAAACGGCGUCUAAUACUGGAUACGAGGAGGGUCCGCAUGGGCACUUCCUGGAAAGUUUUUCGGUUUGGGAUGGGCUCGCGGCCUAUCAGCUUGUUGGUGAGGUAAUGGCUCACCAAGGCGACGACGGGUAGCCGGCCUGAGAGGGCGACCGGCCACACUGGGACUGAGACACGGCCCAGACUCCUACGGGAGGCAGCAGUGGGGAAUAUUGCACAAUGGGCGAAAGCCUGAUGCAGCGACGCCGCGUGAGGGAUGACGGCCUUCGGGUUGUAAACCUCUUUCAGCAGGGAAGAAGCGAAAGUGACGGUACCUGCAGAAGAAGCACCGGCUAACUACGUGCCAGCAGCCGCGGUAAUACGUAGGGUGCGAGCGUUGUCCGGAAUUAUUGGGCGUAAAGAGCUUGUAGGCGGUUUGUCGCGUCUGCUGUGAAAAUCCGGGGCUCAACCCCGGACUUGCAGUGGGUACGGGCAGACUAGAGUGUGGUAGGGGAGACUGGAAUUCCUGGUGUAGCGGUGAAAUGCGCAGAUAUCAGGAGGAACACCGAUGGCGAAGGCAGGUCUCUGGGCCACUACUGACGCUGAGAAGCGAAAGCAUGGGGAGCGAACAGGAUUAGAUACCCUGGUAGUCCAUGCCGUAAACGUUGGGCGCUAGGUGUGGGACUC